UACGUAGGGUGCAAGCGUUGUCCGGAAUUAUUGGGCGUAAAGAGCUCGUAGGCGGUUUGUCGCGUCUGCUGUGAAAACUCGGGGCUUAACCCCGGGCCUGCAGUGGGUACGGGCAGACUAGAGUGCGGUAGGGGAGACUGGAAUUCCUGGUGUAGCGGUGAAAUGCGCAGAUAUCAGGAGGAACACCUGUGGUGUAGACAGCUUACUGGACCACUUCUGACGCUGAGACACGAAAGCGUGGGUAGCAAACAGG
Molecule: ribosomal RNA, 253 nt
Filed under: uncultured bacterium
Lineage: Bacteria
Description: partial 16S ribosomal RNA
Rfam family: Bacterial small subunit ribosomal RNA
Source: RNAcentral